CGUUGAAACACCGGUUACCGUACGAUCACCGAAGUUAAGCAACGUCGAGCCUCGUCAUUUCCACGAUGGGUGACCGCUUAGAAAUAUCAGGUAUUGUA
This is a non-coding RNA of Acanthosepion pharaonis, 98 nucleotides long. NCBI's taxonomy places the organism in Eukaryota, Metazoa, Mollusca, Cephalopoda, Sepiida, Sepiidae. The record is from the annotation of a GenBank genome assembly.